AUGCUAUACGGUGCUUGCUCCACUUCGAUUGUUGCAACCUGCAGCUACUCCUGAAUAUAUUAAUGAGCCAGUGUCCAGCAGAACAAGAGAUAAACUACUAAAGCAAGGGACACUCAAUGUUAAAGCUAUUCAGUGCAAAAGGAGGCAUUUCAACCAAACCAAUGAGAGUGUGUUGGAUAGAUAGAGCUAGAACAAAUUAGCAGCCAGUGUUCUCGGUUUCUCGCAUAUGCAGUUCAACUGGGCGGUGUUUCCUUAUUACUAGGAGGGUGUGGUUUACAAGUAGAGACACAGACAAUGUUCAGUCGGGCAGAGGCAGGGCGUGGGGGACAAGUAUUGAUCUGCAAGGUAAUGAUUUUGGUUUAUUGAACAAUUUAUAUGUGCGAUCUCCCCGCUGUGCUUAUUGUAGUUAGUGAUGAUUUUCGUUUUCAAGUCGAACCCAUUUGGCAGCCCAAACCCCAGCUUGAUUAAGAUUGUCACUCACAUCAUAGAAAACCACCACACCAAUGAACACUCCUUCGUGUCCUCCUGUGAAUGUAAGAUCAUAACAAUAUUUACCUUCUCGUGAGCAUUUUGGUGUUGAUAGAGUCAGAGCUGAACCAAGUAGAAAUUUUAAUAAAUUUGGGCUUAUCUGUUUUUCACAAUUGCUGAAAGUGAUCAUUACCUUAUCCAAAAAGUAGUUCUACAUUUUACAGUAAGUUGUUUGAGGUCAGGUGGUAGUUGGCAUGUAUGCCAUGCAUGGAGUCCAUGUAACUAAGGAUGAAUUGAUAGUAUGUAAUCAUUAAUUUCUUAUUUGUCUCGCUCGAACAUCUGUAAUACCUAGGCUACUAUUUUUUAUGGAGGCAUAUAUUUAGCACAAAUGUGAGAGCUAUUGAGUGAUCUGAAUGAUAUUUUGUUUAUGAAUUUUGCAUGCAAAUAUUGGAGAUCAAAGUUUACAGAAGCCCAAGACAAUAAUGACGAAGCAGGAGAACAGAUUAAAAACGUCACAUUUUUACAAAUAAGUAUAUACUAUUUAUGGUUUUGUAAAGUAGUUAUGGUCUUCAUACUCAAAAGGUGCAGCCUUUAUGUAUAUAUAGUUCGUUAGAUGAUAUUUGUAUGGGUUUGCACCUUAUGUCUAUGAUAUAACUUUGAUUCUUGUUUAGGAUAGCUAAGCACAAAUUUGAAACGCAGCCCGUGGUGUUUUCCCUUCAGGAUAUGUGUAUACAAGCUUUAUUAAAGACACCAACAGUAGGUCAUGUUCUGCUGCAAUAAGGAAUGACAAAGGUCAAUUUACCUUCUUAGCCUGGGACGUUAUUCCUUUUUCUGAGAGCGUAGAAGCUGCAAAAUCCAUUGCCUGCCUGGUGGGAGUCAAGCAGGUGCUCAUGAUAGUUCAUACAGGAAUCAUUGUUGAGAGAGAUUGUGCAUCUCUCAUAAAAAAUCUUUCAAAUAGUGAAAGACAUAGUCCGAGGAUUGCUACAGCAUCCUGCUAGACAUCAAGCAAAACCCUAGAGCAACUUCCAGACUUCAAACUGAAGAAGAUUCGUAGACAUGAUAAUGUCCUGGGUCAUGGACUAGCAAAACUUAUCUGUGUGAGUGGUAGUGGUGGUGUGUUGCAAGUUGCCUCCCUGCGUGUUGGAAUUGGCCUUGCUGAUCUGUAAUCAAAACUCUCUUUCUGAUUAAUGAUAACACCAGUUUCAUUUUUGAAGAAA
Molecule: long non-coding RNA, 1685 nt
Organism: Lolium perenne
Lineage: Eukaryota; Viridiplantae; Streptophyta; Magnoliopsida; Poales; Poaceae
Source: RefSeq, a predicted model, not a curated record